AUUAAUCCCUGGCUCCCAGGAUGAACGCUGGCGGCGUGCCUAACACAUGCAAGUCGAGCGAUUCACUUCGGUGAAGAGCGGCGGACGGGUGAGUAACGCGUGGGUAACCUGCCUCAUACACAUGGAUAACAUACCGAAAGGUAUGCUAAUACAGGAUAACAUAAGAGAUUCACAUGUAUUUCUUAUCAAAGCUCCGGCGGUAUGAGAUGGACCCGCGUCUGAUUAGCUAGUUGGUAAGGUAACGGCUUACCAAGGCGACGAUCAGUAGCCGACCUGAGAGGGUGAUCGGCCACAUUGGAACUGAGACACGGUCCAAACUCCUACGGGAGGCAGCAGUGGGGAAUAUUGCACAAUGGGCGAAAGCCUGAUGCAGCAACGCCGCGUGAGUGAUGAAGGCCUUCGGGUCGUAAAACUCUGUCCUCAAGGAAGAUAAUGACGGUACUUGAGGAGGAAGCCCCGGCUAACUACGUGCCAGCAGCCGCGGUAAUACGUAGGGGGCUAGCGUUAUCCGGAUUUACUGGGCGUAAAGGGUGCGUAGGUGGUUUCUUAAGUCAGGAGUGA
RNAcentral lists this ribosomal RNA (561 nucleotides) under uncultured Clostridium sp. Its description in RNAcentral is "bacterial SSU rRNA". It matches the Rfam family "Bacterial small subunit ribosomal RNA", at positions 1 to 597 of the family's 1533-position model. The record is from RNAcentral. Lineage: Bacteria; Bacillati; Bacillota; Clostridia; Eubacteriales; Clostridiaceae.